Molecule: ribosomal RNA, 502 nt
Filed under: uncultured Sphingobacteriales bacterium
Lineage: Bacteria; Pseudomonadati; Bacteroidota; Sphingobacteriia; Sphingobacteriales
Description: bacterial SSU rRNA
Rfam family: Bacterial small subunit ribosomal RNA
Source: RNAcentral
CGCCUUGCCAGCCCGCUCAGAAACUUAAGGAAUUGACGGGGCCGCACAAGCGGAGGAGCAUGUGGUUUAAUUCGAUGAUACGCGAGGAACCUUACCUGGGCUCGAACGUAAGAUGACUGUAGGUGAAAGCUUACAUCUCUUCGGAGCAUUUUACGAGGUGCUGCAUGGUUGUCGUCAGCUCGUGCCGUGAGGUGUCGGGUUAAGUCCCAUAACGAGCGCAACCCCUACCUUUAGUUGCCAUCAGGUUAAGCUGGGGACUCUAAAGGAACUGCCUACGCAAGUAGUGAGGAAGGCGGGGAUGACGUCAAAUCAGCACGGCCCUUACGUCCAGGGCUACACACGUGCUACAAUGGCCGAUACAGAGGGCAGCUACCUGGUGACAGGAUGCAAAUCUCCAAAGUCGGUCUCAGUUCGGAUCGGAGUCUGCAACCCGACUCCGUGAAGUUGGAUUCGCUAGUAAUCGCGCAUCAGCCAUGGCGCGGUGAAUACGUUCCCGGGCCUU